UCGACGAAGUAGCAAUACUUAGUGGCAGACGGGUGAGUAACAUGUAGGUAUCUGCCCUUUGGCCUGGAAUAACACGAGGAAACUUGUGCUAAUACCGGAUAAGUCUUUACGGAGAAAGCUUUAUGCACCAUUGGAUGAGCCUGCACUUGAUUAGUUUGUUGGUGGGGUAAUGGCCUACCAAGACUGUGAUCAAUAGCUGAUUUGAGAGGAUGAUCAGCCACAUUGGGACUGAGACACGGCCCAAACUCCUACGGGAGGCAGCAGUGGGGAAUCUUGCACAAUGGAGGAAACUCUGAUGCAGCGAUGCCGCGUGAGUGAAGAAGGCCCUUGGGUUGUAAAGCUCUUUCGUCGGGGAAGAAAAUGACUGUACCCGAAUAAGAAGGUCCGGCUAACUUCGUGCCAGCAGCCGCGGUAAUACGAAGGGACCUAGCGUAGUUCGGAAUUACUGGGCUUAAAGAGUUCGUAGGUGGUUGAAAAAGUUAGUGGUGAAAUCCCAGAGCUUAACUCUGGAACUGCCAUUAAAACUUUUCAGCUAGAGUAUGAUAGAGGAAAGCAGAAUUUCUAGUGUAGAGGUGAAAUUCGUAGAUAUUAGAAAGAAUACCAAUUGCGAAGGCAGCUUUCUGGAUCAUUACUGACACUGAGGAACGAAAGCAUGGGUAGCGAAGAGGAUUAGAUACCCUCGUAGUCCAUGCCGUAAACGAUGUGUGUUAGACGUUGGAAAUUUAUUUUCAGUGUCGCAGGGAAACCGAUAAACACACCGC
This 761-nucleotide ribosomal RNA is filed under the name uncultured bacterium. RNAcentral's name for it is "bacterial SSU rRNA". It matches the Rfam family "Bacterial small subunit ribosomal RNA", at positions 62 to 872 of the family's 1533-position model. The record is from RNAcentral.